RNAcentral lists this non-coding RNA (30 nucleotides) under Cricetulus griseus (Chinese hamster). The record is from RNAcentral. Lineage: Eukaryota; Metazoa; Chordata; Mammalia; Rodentia; Cricetidae.
AACAGAUGUCUUGAUUUCUCCCCUCUCCAG